This 510-nucleotide ribosomal RNA is filed under the name uncultured bacterium. RNAcentral's name for it is "bacterial SSU rRNA". It matches the Rfam family "Bacterial small subunit ribosomal RNA", at positions 30 to 526 of the family's 1533-position model. The record is from RNAcentral.
AUUGAACGCUGGCGGUAUGCUUAACACAUGCAAGUCGGACGGCAGCAUGAUGUGUAGCAAUACACAUUGAUGGCGAGUGGCGGACGGGUGAGAAACGCGUAGGAAUCUGCCUUAUAGAGGGGGACAACUAGAGGAAACUCUAGCUAAUACCGCAUAAUGUCUAUGGACCAAAGGCUGGGUAGCAAUGCCUGGCGCUAUAAGAGGAGCCUGCGUCCGAUUAGCUAGUUGGUAGGGUAAAGGCCUACCAAGGCGAUGAUCGGUAGCUGGUCUGAGAGGAUGAUCAGCCACACUGGGACUGAGACACGGCCCAGACUCCUACGGGAGGCAGCAGUGGGGAAUAUUGGACAAUGGGGGCAACCCUGAUCCAGCAAUACCGCGUGUGUGAAGAAGGCCUUCGGGUUGUAAAGCACUUUAGGUUGGGAAGAAGGUGUAUUGUUUAAGAGAUGAUACAUUUGACUGUACCGACAGAAUAAGCACCGGCUAACUCUGUGCCAGCAGCCGCCGUAAAAC